This 3484-nucleotide long non-coding RNA is filed under the name Homo sapiens (human). RNAcentral's name for it is "HSALNT0296252". Lineage: Eukaryota; Metazoa; Chordata; Mammalia; Primates; Hominidae. The record is from RNAcentral.
UACUUAAUUUUUUUACAGCCUUCCUUCUCUCCCUUUACAAGGAGUUAAAUGAUUUGUCCCAAAUCACACAACUAGCAAGUGACAGGAUAAAAACUUGAAAGGAGAUUAUUUGACUUAUAAAUCCAGUUUCUCUUCAUUUCAUCAUAAAGCAGACUGACUAUCAGAGGGAAUAAUGGAGUGACUAUGAAGCAACCGUUCUCUAAUGCCCUUAACUGACCCAGCAGCCAAAAACAUCUGAAGAGGUGGAGAACAAAUGAGAUAAGUGAUUUCUUAAGGUCGGUUCUUUCAGUAUAUCAGUAUUGGAGAGUCAACUGUUGUGGCCAUAGAUGGAAAUACAGGAAGUGACAGCUUAUUUGACUCUUGAUUGCCUUAAGAGGAUGCUAGAAGCAGUGAGAAUGCAGUAAAUGGAAUAAAGCUCCAGCUGCAUUACCUGAACUCCAAAUAUUAUUACCAGCAUUCAAGAGUGAAAAGGCCUGGGGAAGCCUGAUAGCACAAGGAUUAGACAGACAUAGUAAGGCUGAGGGUGCCUUUGCUCAUAAGUCUUUUUUAGUUUAUUAAUUUUCCAAUCGAUGGCAAAAUUGCUUCAAUUUAGUCUGUAUAAUCAAAGCAGGUUUCUGGUUAGUUCUAUGAAGAAUUCAACAGCUAUUGAGUUUCUGCUGUUUCAGGUAUUAUGUUAGUCCCAGGGAACAAGACAGAUAUAAUCCCUAAUCUCAUGGAGAUUCUAAUGUAGCACAAAAUACAGAUAUUAAGUAACACAUCAUUUCAAGGGUGUUGAAAACAAAAGAGGAGGAACAGAAUUGUACUGGACACUAUUGGUGCUGUGACAAGAUUCUUUUGAAACCUUUGAAUUGUUUCUGUGAACUUCUCUCCCAGCUUCUGAGGGCCUUUGCUUCCAAUUGACUGCACUUGAUCAUUUUCUGGACGGCUGCCUUCAGAACACUGGAGUGGAUUGCCUGCAAGCAUAGAAAGUGGGAGUUGCCUAGGAGUUUAAGUGCCCCUAUCCAAUGAUUGGUAGGAGAGUCUAAAAUCCCAGCCUCCUUGCCUUCUGGAAAAACAAAGUUAGGGGCAGCAUUUACACUACAGAGUUCUCUUGAUUAGGCUGAGCAUGAGCCUUUGAUGACUGAACCCUUGCUGGAUGUUGUGGCCAUUAAGAAUGCACCUCACCGACCUCCAGCUAUAAAGAGCAUAAUUGACUGAUGGCCCCAGCUGCUGCUUCUGAACUCCAUCACUGAGUUUGUCUCAGGGCUGCACUUCCCCCAGGCUGUUCCCAGCCAACAACUGAGCGUGGCAGGGACACUAAGACAGGCCCAUUCCCAGGAGGCCUAGGAUUCCCAUGACAGGUAACUUUGGCUCAACAACUAUUUGACAGCCUCAGCCAAUUUUUCUUAGACUGAAGAGGGGUCUAGGAUGCUCCCACGACCCUUCAUUGCCUUCUUCCUUCACAUGGGCUCAGACCUGUAUCACAGCCUUAUGGCUUUUCCAGCCCAUCCUGAUUACCCUCUGCCAAUUUACUUUUAUAGGUAUUUCCCUGAUAAAAUCCUCAGAUGCUUAAUUCCAUCUAGGCAUCUGCUCCUCAGAGGAUCCAGAAGAACACACUGGGCUUCCCUACGCUUACUCUUCACACGCACUUCUUUAUGGUUUCUCCUGCGGGCACUUGCACAUGAAUCCUCCUCUCAAGGUCUGCUUCUCUGGAAUCCAAUGUAAUGACAAGGGCUCAAUGGGAAUACAUAAUAAAUGAAUCUAAUCAAUUACCAUUACAGUUGUGUUGAAGUUUGAAAGAAUAGUAAACAUUAAUAGGCAAAAGGAUGGAAGAGGCAGGAUUUUCCAGGUAGAAGAAAUAUCAUAUUCAAAAGUUAGCAGGCAAGACUGAAAAUGUCAGAGUCAAAGAAAGGAGCAAUUAAUAAUUAAUGUAGUGACAGAUGAAGGAAGAAGCCACCUAUGAAGAGCCCAGUUGACUGUGCUAAGGAUUUUCAUCUUUCCUUAAGAGUAAAGAGCCACCGUAAGACUUUAAACAGAGAGACAAAAGGAUCAGAUUUGCAUGUUUAAAACAUCAUUCUGGAACAUUAAUUGCAGGGUAGCAUAGAAGAGGGGAGAGCAGAUAGAAAGUGAUGCAUUGGUCUGGUGCGGGACUAGGGUGGCUCAGACUGAAGCAGGGGUCGGCAAACCACAGCCUACAGCCUGUUUCUGUAUGGCCCAAAGACAAAGAAAAAUUUUUCAUUUUUAAAGGGCUGUUGCAAUGUACUGAAUGCUUGUGACCUGCCUCUUCUAAAUUCAUAUGUUGAAGCCCUAGCCCCCAGUGUGAUGCUAUUAGGAGGAAGGGCCUUUUGGAGGUAAUGGGACAUGAUGAUGGGACCUUUAUUAAUGGGAUUAGUGCCCUUACAGAAGAAAUCCCAGAAGGGAUUCUCACCCUCUUUCCACCAUAUAAGGAUACAAGGAGAAACUGGGAAGCUGCAACCCAGAAGAAGGUCCUCAUCAGAACUGCCCAUGCUGGCACCCUGAUCUUGAACUAUCGUCCUCCAGAACUGUACAAAAUAAAUUGUGGUUGUUUAUAAGCCACCCAUUCUCUGGUACUUUGUUGUAGCAGCCUAAAUUGACUAAGACACUUGUUAAAACAAUAAUAACAAAAAUGAAGAAUAUGUAACAGAGCCCAUAUGUGGUCCUGAACCCCUAAAAUAUUCCCUGUCUGGUCCUUUGCAGGAGAAUACGUGUGGAUCAUGGACUAGAAUAAUGACAAUGGGAAUGGGGAAAACUAGUUGGAUCAAAGAAAUAUUUUGGAGAUUUUCUUCAAAUAUGUCAAUUAAGACUACGUAUCACAACAGAUUGAAUGCUGAAGUGGACAGAAAAACCCACUGUCUUUCUUUAAAUCAGAAAACUACCUUGGACUACGAGGGUGUGGGGUGAGCCAGCCAUUACCCCCACCCUGAAGCCUGUCCCCCUUUUCUUCUCCAUGGACUACAAGGGGUCUUGAGGGCAUGCAGGUGAACACCCAGAUCACAAGUCCAAGCAGAUACCCACCUGCUGCAAACAGCUACCUAUUGGCCACCUUUUGGGCCUAGGGGUAUGCAUAUCUACAGCGACAUCCACUUUCAGAAGGACAGACACUUUGAAGAAACCUAUGUAGGCCCUGGAGGCAGGAUUUGGACCAUUUGGGCAAGAAAUCCAGGGUUCCAGGUACUCAUGGCUUGGUCAAAAUAGAAGGUUCCAGCUGGGCCCUUCUCUACCUUGUAGAUUCUCCAUUCCCAGAGGAACAUAGUCAGAAAAGGGCCAUAGUGGAGCCCUUUGAAUCAACAAAAGACCUCUUCCCUCUGUUUCUUGGGUCUAAAGGCAGUACUCUGUCAAAUCCUUUAUCAACUCUGAACCACAGUUUUCUCUCUAUAAACUCAGAUGGUCAGAAUAAAUUCAAUCUCAUACCAAUCCUUCAAGAGUCUGUCUUGUUCCUAACCCAAGGAAGGUAGCAUUAAGUUCUUGCUGAGUAAUCAAAACU